UUUGAUGUUCCAAACAGGGCUGCACAGGGUGACAUGGCCACAGGUUACUCACUGAAGCUAAGCAGGGCUGAGCCUGGUCAGUACCUGGAUGGGAGACCACUAGGGAACACUAGGUUGCUGUUGGAA
RNAcentral lists this ribosomal RNA (126 nucleotides) under Danio rerio (zebrafish). The record is from RNAcentral. Lineage: Eukaryota; Metazoa; Chordata; Actinopteri; Cypriniformes; Danionidae.